This is a long non-coding RNA of Pygocentrus nattereri (red-bellied piranha), 281 nucleotides long. RefSeq lists it as uncharacterized. The transcript is spliced from 3 exons. The record is from RefSeq and is a predicted model, not a curated record. NCBI's taxonomy places the organism in Eukaryota, Metazoa, Chordata, Actinopteri, Characiformes, Serrasalmidae.
AGGAGCUCGCUCAGCCAGCGUAACGGUUCCUGUGAGAGAUAAGCAGAACUCUGAGGAUGUGAAAUGGAGCUGCAGCUGAUCAGGUGACCAGCCAGUUGUGUCGUGUGGAGUUUUUUCCACCUCCUAACUUUCCUGAUCCUCUAUAUGAGCUCUGAUUGGCUCAUCAUUACCUGCUGAACAGAUGGUGCUGCUGAUCAGGUUUAACUGAGGCAGAUCUGAAAGCUGAUGAAGAUGCGCUUGUGUGGACAUGGAACAACACACACCUGACCGUGGACGAGCGA